This is a long non-coding RNA of Trifolium pratense (red clover), 974 nucleotides long. RefSeq lists it as uncharacterized. NCBI's taxonomy places the organism in Eukaryota, Viridiplantae, Streptophyta, Magnoliopsida, Fabales, Fabaceae. The record is from RefSeq and is a predicted model, not a curated record. The transcript has 3 exons.
UAUAGUGAAGAAAUCACAAUCUCCUCCAUUCUUUCUCUGUCAAACCGAACCACUCCCUCCACCACCAUAAAACUCCAUUAUUCAAUUCCUCUAAAUCCUUCAACAAUCAAGCCUUGCAUAUACCUUUUUCUCUCCACCCAUUAUCAUUGCAACUUGGUAGAUAGAGGUUUCAGCUCUGAUUCUUUCUCCCCUCCCAUAUGUCACAGUCGAAACCACCAUUUGGAUAGACCAAGCUCAAUUUAUCUUUCAUUUGGAGCAUGCAUGUACGAAUUAAGGUUUCAAUCCAUCAAUUUAUACCAAAGGAAAGUUAAGAAUUCUUAUUCAAUCUUGAGGCUUGUAUUCAUUAAUCUUGCUUUGGGUUGGAGUAUUCCAAGUAUUGGAGGUAAAUUAUGAAAAAUUCGUAUGGACCUACUGCUAGUAUUUGAGUGAUAACUGUCACCAUGUAACCCAGAUUUGAAUGGUUGUUGAAUUCUCAGAAUCGGGACGAAUUUCCCUACAGUUUGAGUACCCCUUUCAUAGGUUUUACCUUGGUAACGAAGUCCAGAGAUGUGUUUAAAGAUGGGGUUCUGAUGCUGUAAAGUUGCAGGAUUUUUGGCUGCGGGUUUCUACAUGUUCGAGUCACACGAACUGAUGCAUAAACGUAGAAAAUAUGUUGGAAUCUCGGAUUCACUCAAGGAUUUUCAUCAACGGAAUGAGACAAACAGAUUAUGCAAGACAUGAGUAAGAAGAAGCUGAGGAUUGAAGAUGAUAGAUGAUAGAUGAUAUAUGCUAUUAGCUUCUGCCUUGUUAGUUAGAUUAAUCUGUUAUGUGUAUUUCACCGGAUUAUCUCCGUUGUGUAAUGGAAAUUCAUUUCUUGUACCUAAUGAUGGAUUUAUGUAUUUAUGAAUUUUCCGAACAAUUUACUCUGUAAUUUUAUUGUAUUCGGAUUCCAUUAUGUUAUCCCUGUCAAUAUUCUAGACAAUUGACAUGGAGUG